AGAGAGUUCAGACCGUUAUCCGAGUACGCGAGGCGUAGGGCAGCCCGGCCCCACUUAGCACGAGUUUCUGAAACAUCUCGAAAAGGGGGAACUGAGCGGGAAAUGAUGCACCCUCAAAGAGGAACAAAUCUGACAGUAAUGAAGCUGUCCUGAUGAGAACAGUCGAAGGCAGAAAGAGGCAUGAAACACACUGGCGGGGGGACGACGACGACGACGACAACAACUUAAUAGCGCUCUGAGGCAGGAAUGUGAACACACCCCAAGUUAAAAAGCACUGGUUCCAAUACAGAUUCUUGGGGAACCUCUCUUAGUACAUGACUCUCUGGACCAGCCACAAUAUCUCAACCUGAUUUAUCUCACAGCAUUUUUGUGAGGAUAAAAUGGAGAAGAGGGGGCCAUGUAUGCCACACGGAGUUCCUAGGAAGAAAGUUGAAGAAAGAUUCGGAGAAUAUCAUAGGCAUCAGUGCAGUUCUUACUCCAUUGGCUGAUUUAUAAGCGUUGCUGUGCAAUGGAUUCUGGCGAUCAGGAGCCCUUCACCGUCACAACGAGCAUGCACAAAUACGUGGAACAAUGUUUGCUGGGACUGGGACAGAUUCGUCUGCAAGUCCAACAUGGUGGCUAUGGGGGACGGCUAUGGUUCAGUGGCAGAAUGUGUAUGUUGCAUGCAGAACGUCCUGGGUUCAAUCCCCAGCUGGGAGAAAACAGUGUCUGAAAUUUUGGGAAGCCGCUGUCAAUCAAGGUAGACAGUACUGAGACAGAUGGGCCAAUGGUCUGACUCAGUAAAAGGCAGCUCCCUGUGUUCCUAUGACCGAUGUUUUUCAUAUGUACAUUCAAUGGUUUUACUUAUAAUUACAGUAUUAUAUAUUUAUUUAUACCCCACCUUUUUCCUGAUGGGACUCAAGGCUGCUUACAUGUAAAAAGGAAACACUAAAGAAAACAAUUAAACAUUGUUAGAAGUAAAACUACACACAUAUGUAAAAUCUAUUAAAACCACACAAAUAAUUACAAUAAAAACAGCAUGGCACCAGCCCUCUCAUUAAAAGUUCCCAAAAGCCUUUUGGAACAGAAGCUUUCACCUGCUGGCGGAAGGACAACAAGGAGGGAGCCAGUCUUACAUCUCUAGGGAAGGAGUUCCAAAGUCUGGGAACAGCCACCGAGAAGACCCUCUCCCUACCAAGUGUGCCUGGGAAGGUGGCAGGACUCAGAGAAGGGCCUCUCCCAAAGAUGUCAACAUCCAGGCAGGUUUGUAUGAGGGAAUACGGUCUUUCAGAUAGCUUGGACUAAAGCUGCGUAGGGCUUUAAAAGUCAUAACCAGUACUUUGAACUGUGCAAAG
Molecule: non-coding RNA, 1334 nt
Organism: Podarcis muralis (Common wall lizard)
Lineage: Eukaryota; Metazoa; Chordata; Lepidosauria; Squamata; Lacertidae
Source: RefSeq, a predicted model, not a curated record